RNAcentral lists this long non-coding RNA (1645 nucleotides) under Oryctolagus cuniculus (rabbit). RNAcentral's name for it is "lncRNA (ENSOCUG00000036564.1)". Lineage: Eukaryota; Metazoa; Chordata; Mammalia; Lagomorpha; Leporidae. The record is from RNAcentral.
AAUUAACACCGGACGACUCCUCAGCCGCCGGACGGCCCGGCAGCAGAGCCCUUUUUGCGGGAGGAAGGGCUGCAAGUCCCGCUUCCGCUUCCGCGCCGCUUCUAACCCGACAGCGGAAGUGCCGGGACCCCUAUAAACGGCACAAGGAAGCGCGACACGCACACGCCGUCGCGACGCCACGCUGCCAUCUAGGGCCCGCCGCUCCUUGUACGGGCACAGGAGGUGGGGCCUGCUGCCUGACGUCGAAGUCGAGGCGGGGCUCCGAUAGGGGGAACCUGGGGCUGGGGGCGGGGCCUAUGCAAAUCGCUGGGCUGAAACAUAAAUAGAGCACUCCGCGGACACGGGGGUGGCGGGGGCGGCCGGGUUGGAUGCGCGGUGGGUUGUGAGAAUGUCAGGCUCCUGUGACGCGGGAGGCGGGGCCCAGGCGGGGUUCCCGCGGGAGGGGGCGGGCCGCCGGGCCGGGCCUGAGGUGGGUGGGUCCCUGCGCCCCCUGCCUGCUCAACUUCCCUCUCCAGCUCCCGGCUCGUCUUUGAUGUCCGACAAAGUCUGACCCUGGGCGUAUGUGUCUGUGGCUCUAUAGGCCUGUGUCCUGGACGAGGUACUUGACAAACUGUGCUGGAACCUGCCUCAUCUCCUGCCACCUCAGAGCUUUCAGGUCCUCUGAAGACUACGUCUGGAAGGCCUCCCAGCUGCCUGCACACAUGCAGGGACAAGGCAUGGAGUAUUCAAGCGCCUUUUGGAGCAAGCUUUUCACCAUCUUGUACUGCCUGACUCAGAAGAUAAGAAUGAGGGGAUCUCAGUCUUUUGACGAUGUGCCAGCUGUGCUGUACAGGAAGGGAGAGAAUGAGCGGAGCUGCCGGAGGAGGGAUGUGCAGUCGAGUGUAGGAAGAACUGCCGCUGCCAGCCUCCACGUGCUGGAGGAGCUCACGGAAGGAGCUGCAGGGUCCCCACAGGCAGACUUCUCACCCGCAUCGACCGAGCACCUUCUGGAGAUUCCCUGAAAAUGGCAAUACCAUUACCAUUCUUGGAUUCCCAGGAAUACAGAGCCUCUCCCAACAAGUGUUUGCCUGGCUGUGCACAGUAAUCUCAACACCGGUGUCCCAGGAAAUGGCCCACAAUUUCACCAUAUUCAGGAAGUCCUGUUGAAGAAAUGUAGAGAGCUGUGUUUUCUUGGGAGGGUCACUGACUCAAUGACCUCCAUUUCCAGGCUGUUUGCCCAUUGUAAUCAAUUUUUCCUUCUGUUACGCACAUUUAUGAAAUAUUGGGUACCUGGCUUUUCUUAGGGAUGCAUGUCUAACUCCACAUAACUCUACAUGGUUUCAGUUGUUUACAAGGCAAUCUUGGGUGAUCCUAGCAACUCUAUUGCUGUCAUUUUAAGACCAUUAGAACCUUAGAAACGUCCUAAGAGUCCUCCUUUUUUUAUUCUUCUUGCUUAUUUUUAAAUGGAAGGAAGUCUUAUGAGGUAGCAAGGUGGUGAGGAGGAAGACACUGCUUUAGCUCCUGCUAGUUAUUCCAUGUUAUGCUUGAGCUUGUUAUUUGCAUCUGGUCUCUAUUUGUUAGCAUCAAUGGACUGUGUUUGCAUAACUAGAUCAAAUUAUGAAAGGACUUUGAUUUUGAAUGGUUAAUUCACACACACAGUCAAGCU